CCCAAAUAAAUGGGGGGAUUAAAGAGUUUGGAAAAGAUUUCGGCUAAUACCCGGCAUACCGCCCCUACGGGGGGAAAAGCAGGGGGAUUGUAAGACCCUUGCGUUAAUGGAGCCGGCCGAUAUCUGAUUAGCUUGUUGGUGAGGUAAAGGCUCACCAAGGCGACGAUCAGUAGCUGGUUUGAGAGAACGACCAGCCACACUGGAACUGAGACACGGUCCAGACUCCUACGGGAGGCAGCAGUGGGGAAUUUUGGACAAUGGGGGCAACCCUGAUCCAGCCAUUCCGCGUGAGUGAAGAAGGCCUUCGGGUUGUAAAGCUCUUUCGCAAGGGAAGAAAACUUAUGAUCGAAUAAAUCAUGAGGUUGACGGUACCUUGAUAAGAAGCACCGGCUAACUACGUGCCAGCAGCCGCGGUAAUACGUAGGGUGCGAGCGUUAAUCGGAAUUACUGGGCGUAAAGCGUGCGCAGGCGGUUUUGUAAGUCGGAUGUGAAAUCCCCGGGCUCAACCUGGGAACUGCGUUCGAAACUGCAAGGCUAGAGUGUGUCAGAGGGGGGUAGAAUUCCACGUGUAGCAGUGAAAUGCGUAGAGAUGUGGAGGAAUACCAAUGGCGAAGGCAGCCCC
This 622-nucleotide ribosomal RNA is filed under the name Pseudomonadota bacterium. RNAcentral's name for it is "bacterial SSU rRNA". It matches the Rfam family "Bacterial small subunit ribosomal RNA", at positions 128 to 728 of the family's 1533-position model. The record is from RNAcentral. Lineage: Bacteria; Pseudomonadati; Pseudomonadota.